Molecule: small RNA, 81 nt
Filed under: Pseudovibrio axinellae
Lineage: Bacteria; Pseudomonadati; Pseudomonadota; Alphaproteobacteria; Hyphomicrobiales; Stappiaceae
Description: suhB
Rfam family: Makes More Granules Regulator RNA (mmgR)
About the family: SuhB later renamed mmgR (makes more granules regulator) was a putative non-coding RNA found multiple times in the Agrobacterium tumefaciens genome and related alpha-proteobacteria. Other non-coding RNAs uncovered in the same analysis include: speF, ybhL, metA, and serC. Several studies inSinorhizobium meliloti showed that suhB element is indeed a non-coding RNA:firstly it was detected on Northern blot and called Sm8RNA, secondly in an RNAseq study referred to as SmelC689.
Source: RNAcentral
CUGCGUCGCCCUUUGCGAAAGGGCAUUCCUCCCUAGACUAGGGCCGCCUCCUAUGUGAGAGCGGCCUUUUUUGUUGGCUGG